CUAUGCGCCUUGCCAGCCGCUCAGGUGUGCCAGCGCCGCGGUAAUACGUAGGGGCAAGCGUUAUCCGGAUUUACUGGGUGUAAAGGGGGCGCAGACGGCGAUGCAAGCCAGGAGUGAAAGCCCGGGGCCCAACCCCGGGACUGCUCUUGGAACUGCGUGGCUGGAGUGCAGGAGGGGCAGGCGGAAUUCCUGGUGUAGCGGUGAAAUGCGUAGAUAUCAGGAGGAACACCGGUGGCGAAGGCGGCCUGCUGGACUGCAACUGACGUUGAGGCCCGAAAGCGUGGGGAGCAAACAGG
This 296-nucleotide ribosomal RNA is filed under the name uncultured bacterium. RNAcentral describes it as "partial 16S ribosomal RNA". It matches the Rfam family "Bacterial small subunit ribosomal RNA", at positions 475 to 776 of the family's 1533-position model. The record is from RNAcentral.